UACAGAGGGGGCAAGCGUUGUUCGGAAUUCCUGGGCGUAAAGGGCGCGUAGGCGGCCCGCUAAGUCGAACGUGAAAUCCCCGAGCUCAACUCGGGAACUGCGUCCGAUACUGGCGGGCUUGAAUCCGGGAGAGGGAUGCGGAAUUCCAGGUGUAGCGGUGAAAUGCGUAGAUAUCUGGAGGAACACCGGUGGCGAAGGCGGCAUCCUGGACCGGCAUUGACGCUGAGGCGCGAAAGCGUGGGGAGCGAACCGG
RNAcentral lists this ribosomal RNA (253 nucleotides) under uncultured bacterium. Its description in RNAcentral is "partial 16S ribosomal RNA". It matches the Rfam family "Bacterial small subunit ribosomal RNA", at positions 524 to 776 of the family's 1533-position model. The record is from RNAcentral.